RNAcentral lists this ribosomal RNA (216 nucleotides) under Glomeromycotina sp. RNAcentral's name for it is "partial small subunit ribosomal RNA". The stretch from base 40 to 216 matches the Rfam family "Eukaryotic small subunit ribosomal RNA", at positions 686 to 864 of the family's 1831-position model. The record is from RNAcentral. Lineage: Eukaryota; Fungi; Glomeromycota.
GGGUCAGUAGGUUGGUCGUGCCACCGGUACGUACUGGUCUCACUGAUUCCUCCUUCCUGAAGAACCGUAAUGCCAUUAAUUUGGUGUUGCGGGGAAACAGGACUGUUACUUUGAAAAGAUUAGAGUGUUUAAAGCAAGCUAACGCUUGAAUACAUUAGCAUGUAAUAAUGAAAUAGGACGAUCGAUCCUAUUUUGUUGGUUUCUAGGAUUGACGUA